This 94-nucleotide transfer RNA is filed under the name Ipomoea nil (Japanese morning glory). It matches the Rfam family "tRNA". From Rfam's summary of the family: Transfer RNA (tRNA) molecules are approximately 80 nucleotides in length. Their secondary structure includes four short double-helical elements and three loops (D, anti-codon, and T loops). Further hydrogen bonds mediate the characteristic L-shaped molecular structure. tRNAs have two regions of fundamental functional importance: the anti-codon, which is responsible for specific mRNA codon recognition, and the 3' end, to which the tRNAs corresponding amino acid is attached (by aminoacyl-tRNA synthetases). tRNAs cope with the degeneracy of the genetic code in two manners: having more than one tRNA (with a specific anti-codon) for a particular amino acid; and 'wobble' base-pairing, i.e. permitting non-standard base-pairing at the 3rd anti-codon position. Lineage: Eukaryota; Viridiplantae; Streptophyta; Magnoliopsida; Solanales; Convolvulaceae. The record is from Rfam by way of RNAcentral.
CCGAUCUUAGCUCAGUUGGUAGAGCGGAGGACUGUAGUUGGAGUAUUUCCUAGCUGAAAUCCUUAGGUCGCUGGUUCGAAUCCGGCAGGUCGGA